UCAGCUUCACAAUUUCUAUCCAUGGCCACACUCUGUAGCUACUCCCUCCACAGCCCUCCUUCUUCGUCUUAUUCUCUUCCUCCUUCUUCUUCACAUUCAACAUCCAUAAUUCACUUUUCUCCAUGUUCACUCGCCGCACAGGAAGUCCCAGCAAAAUCUGAAACUCACAGAUUGUCCAAUUGUAGUUUAAUGCCCACUGUGUGUCAACCGACAAGGCUCUUUCUCCACCCCAUUCUCUUAUUCAGUGGCUUCGAAAGGCCUUUGGAUACCCAGAAUUUUCUUGCUGCUGUUAGUGUUUUGGCCGCCAUUGCCCUUUCACUAUUCCUUGGUUUUAAGGGAUUUUGCAGGGAGAUCCCGUCCCUUGUGAUAGGUGCGCUGGGAAUGGUGGCACAAAAUGUGUUUUUUGUAACAAUGGUAAGAUGAAGCAAGAAAUGGGAUUGGUCGAUUGUAAGGUGUGCAAGGGUGCAGGUAUUGCUUUCUGAUUUACACAUUCCUAGAAAAAAAAGAAAAAAACUAUAAAGCAUCCUGGACAUUAAGGAUUGAUUAAACAGUUGCUACUAUAAAGCAUCGUGGACAGUAAGGGUUGUUUUUUUAGCACUUGUUAUUUUUUUCCCUGACUUGUUCAAAGUAAUAUCUUAUUAGGUUUUCUUAUGAAUUCUAUCAUCCUCAUUUUAUAUUAUCACACUGGUAAAUAUGAAUGAUCUAUAUGUUUGUCGACUUUGUUCACAUGCUUUUAAAAAAGCAAUAGAAUUAUUUCCAUUUUGAUUUUAAGUGCAAAUAUCUCCUAUAAAAAUUACCUUUUUUUUUCACCGCUGACUAUUGCAAGUUAUCUUGAGUGGUUGUAUAUAGUUGUAAUACAGACCUUACUUAGUAUUUAUUACUUAAUUCUUGUCUAUAAUUUCCUGAUCAUUUAAUAAAUUAUGCAAUGCUUAGGAUUGAUAUUCUGCAAGAAGUGUGGAGGUUCUGGAUAUUCUAGACGUUUAUGAGGUGCAGGCGAAAAAAUCACUUUCGGUCUAUUGAUCCCCUAUGUUUUCCAAUAUGUCAUUCUCCCAGGUAUAUAUAUUGUAAUGCCGGCCGUGGAAUGGAGAAGUUGAGAAUUGAUGAGCUUACUUAUUAUGUCAAUAAUGCCAGCAGUAGUACUAGAUGCCUCACGGUAUGUAUGCGGCAACAUGGAGUAUCUUGAUCUGAUCUGAUCUGAUCUCCAAUUAUGCUUUCCUUUUCUGGAUCAAUGAUGAGUGAGAGUUUCCAUGAAAGAUGCCAGCCAGAUGCCUGCUCUUAUUCAAGAUUCAAAGGGUACAUCAGUUCUUGGUUUGGUUUUUGAAUCAGAUUGAUAUUCAUAGACGGGUAGUACUCUCUCUCUCUCUCUCUCUCUCUCUCUCUCUCUCUCUCUCUCUCUCUCUCUCUCUCCAUGUAAGGCUCUCCUUUUGAAUUGCAGAUUUUGUGAAAGAAAAAAGAAAAUUAAGUUGAAAUUAAUUUUACUUUCUAUUUUUCUCCAUCUAAAA
This is an RNA transcript of Malania oleifera, 1502 nucleotides long. RefSeq lists it as uncharacterized. Lineage: Eukaryota; Viridiplantae; Streptophyta; Magnoliopsida; Santalales; Ximeniaceae. The transcript is spliced from 4 exons. The record is from RefSeq and is a predicted model, not a curated record.